This 253-nucleotide ribosomal RNA is filed under the name uncultured bacterium. Its description in RNAcentral is "partial 16S ribosomal RNA". It matches the Rfam family "Bacterial small subunit ribosomal RNA", at positions 524 to 776 of the family's 1533-position model. The record is from RNAcentral.
UACGAGGGGAGCAAGCGUUGUUCGGAUUUACUGGGCGUAAAGGGUGCGUAGGCGGCAGCACAAGUCACUUGUGAAAUCUUUGGGCUUAACCCAAAGCGGCCAAGUGAGACUGUGGAGCUAGAGUGGAGAAGGGGCAACUGGAAUUCCCGGUGUAGCGGUGAAAUGCGUAGAUAUCGAGAGGAACACCUGCGGCGAAGGCGGGUCGCUGGGCUGACACUGACGCUGAGGCACGAAAGCUAGGGUAGCAAACGGG